This 2296-nucleotide unclassified non-coding RNA is filed under the name Hevea brasiliensis (rubber tree). Lineage: Eukaryota; Viridiplantae; Streptophyta; Magnoliopsida; Malpighiales; Euphorbiaceae. The record is from RNAcentral.
CGUUCCUAUAUUCGUAACUUCAGAAUUUGGAAAAGAAGAAACUUUUAGGAUUGAAUUCAAGCAACUGCAAAUAGUACAAGAUUAUUUUGGAUUACAUUUUUUCAAGAAAAUUUUUGUCCUCCCAUUGCACGUUAGUUUGACAACUCAAAUGAUUCUACGACUGCUUUCAUAGUUACAUAAACAAAAAGUGACUGCAAUCAGUGAGUUCGUCCCAGGUUCCACAACGAGCCUGCUUUAGUUAUUGCUUUCACGAAAAUUGACUACAUACCUUCAUUUAAUGUGACUUCUGGGGAAUUGAGGUUGAAGUCAUUGGAGAAAACAAAGAACUCCAACUUCAACCUCAACCUCGGAUGAAGCCAACACCCCUUGUAACCAUAUUUGAUAAUGUUACCAGGGUUUUCCUGUUGAUCAUGAUACAAGGAAGAUCAUCGGUACAAAGCUGAAAGAACAUAAUGAUUGUGGCAAAUAUUACCAGCUCUAAGAACAAAUUCUGUAUCUGUAGCUCUGUAUGGAAUACAAAGGCAGGCUAUAAUACACAUAAAAUUACUUUCAGUUUGAAAUAAAGCUCCACAAGUGUCUUCAAAGAAUCGACCAUGCUCAUAAAGGAGUUAAAAAUUUUAGGUCAGCAAAACAUCAGGAAUUGUACCUUCCCAAAUAUAGAAAUUAUUACAUCCAGCUGACCUUCAGACAUCACUUUGAGACUUGUGGGGGGUUGGUGAUUCCGUGUGGAUCAUACCCAAGUUCAGCAAGUAAGCUUUUGUGGUGUCUCUACAAAUUCAGGCCCCAGUACAGGUCUCCUCCAACAUAUCUAUUGGCAGCAUGGACUAAAGAGGCUCCAGAAGCAUCAAUACCCAAUGUAGCUGGGAUCCCCAACAUACUCUGCAAUUUGUUCAAGUUUGACAUUGAGCAAUUCAUGGGUAUCAGAAUCUUGCACAAUCCCAGUCUCUUGGUCCAAAUCCCUCUGAACCAAAUUACCAUACGUCCCCUUGUGCUUCCCAUACAGAACAAGGACGGGACCCCCACGUCGGGGUAAUGCAGUCUCGAGAAGGUCCUGAUCUAUUCCCUGUACCAACUCCUUAGUCUCAUCCAUGGAUAUAUCACAUACAUAUGGACCAACCACGUCUACCACCUGCCCCUUCUUCAAAUAAAAUUUGCCUCCUUUCAAGUCCUUGCUUAUAAUUCUGACCCGAAUGUGAUUUCUGAGCCAUCGCUUUCUGUCAUCCUUCUCUUGACCGCUGUCUCUCCUCAUACUCUCUCUGCUUUCUUUAAUUGAUUCAGUAAUGCGCUUUUCAUUGUCCCCAUCGUUCGGUUGCUUGCCUUCUCUCUGUAUCAUUUUCAACUUCCUCAAGCACUUCUCUUCUUCUCUAGAGCCCAAAUCAGCAAUAUCAGAAAUACGCAGUUUUUGCUCCUCCUCAGUUUCUGAAAGCUUCAAAAUAACCCGACCAUCAUCUAGCCUCUUUGAAAUUCUACCCUUUGAACCCAAAAUACCUUUUCCACCGGCAAUAACUCUGACAACUUUACCAACAAAGAAACCAUCAGUAGGUUCAUUUCUGUCUCUUUCUCUUUUCCUCUCCUUUUGCCUGUCUCUAUCCUUAACACUAGUACUUGCAGCAUUAGAAGCAGGAGGAACAAAACCCAACCCUUCUUUAUCAGUUCUCUUGUGGUAUUGCUUGACUUUGACAUCUUCCUUAGCAUUCCUCCCGAUACCUCUCCCUUCAUGCCAACCAUAACCAGCCAGCAAAGCCGCACCAAACCCUUCUACAGGCACAUCCUUAAACUCCUCAAAUCCUCGAUCCUCCGGCAACCGCUGGAGAUCAUACUUCAACUUCUCCAACAACAAAUUCUCAGUACUUUCUUCUUUCUGGUGAGAUUUGACUCCUUCGUCACCAUCGCCCUUAUCUCCGUCGGCGCUGCUUUGCUGCCGGAUAUUGAGGCCGUAGGACAUACUCUUAUCGUCCUCGCCGUGGCCAUCGGUGGCAAUCUCGAAGCGAAGGCCUUCGUUGUCGGAUUGGAGAGUGGGAAGGAGGUCGAGGUUCCUCAUUCGCUUGUGAGGUCUCCAUUCGUUCUCUUUAGGGGGGAUGAUGAGAUUCCGAUUGGAAUUGGGUAGGGUUUUAGAGGGAUCAAAUUCGGUGACGUAUUCUUUAACAGUGCCAUUGUUUUGGGUAACGAUAUCGAUUUCAGAGGAAGGUUUGGGUUUGGUUGUGGAUUUGGCGGCUGAUUUGGGGAUUGAGAAGGAGAGUUUCAUUGCCUCAAGAAUUUUUGAUCAAGAUUGGUCCGCCUCUGGUCUCCCCCCCUU